AUGGGGACACUUCAGGGAGCGGCUCUCAGGUCCCGAGAAAGACCUUCCUGGCCACAGGAGACACACGGACAUCGGGAACGGACGGAGGAAGGAUGUGCAGUUGCAGCCUUUUCAGCAGACGCCCUGAGAACGGGAGGUCAAGAGUUGGAGCAGACGGUCAGUUCUGACAGGGCCUCAGACCUAAGGCAGGAGCACCCCCUAUGCCAGACCUCCUGGGUCACAGGAUAUGCACGGACAUUGGGAAGGGAUGGAGGAUGGACGGAGGAAGGACGUGCAGUUGCAGCUCUUUCUGCAGAUGCCCUGAGAGAGGAGCAAGAAGGUCCUCGCCAGAUGCUCCUGGACUUGCUUUGGACUUUCCCUUGCUCUUGGACUUGCUCUGGCACCUGUGCUCUUGGACUUCACAGCCUCUAG
This 411-nucleotide long non-coding RNA is filed under the name Homo sapiens (human). RNAcentral describes it as "family with sequence similarity 30 member A (ENSG00000277059.2)". Lineage: Eukaryota; Metazoa; Chordata; Mammalia; Primates; Hominidae. The record is from RNAcentral.